This 244-nucleotide ribosomal RNA is filed under the name uncultured bacterium. RNAcentral describes it as "partial 16S ribosomal RNA". It matches the Rfam family "Bacterial small subunit ribosomal RNA", at positions 15 to 248 of the family's 1533-position model. The record is from RNAcentral.
GAUCCUGGCUCAGGAUGAACGCUAGCUACAGGCUUAACACAUGCAAGUCGAGGGGAAACGACAUCGAAAGCUUGCUUUUGAUGGGCGUCGACCGGCGCACGGGUGAGUAACGCGUAUCCAACCUGCCCACCACUUGGGGAUAACCUUGCGAAAGUAAGACUAAUACCCAAUGACAUCCCACGAAGACAUCUGAAUGGGAUUAAAGAUUUAUCGGUGAUGGAUGGGGAUGCGUCUGAUUAGUUAG